RNAcentral lists this ribosomal RNA (640 nucleotides) under Spirometra erinaceieuropaei. RNAcentral describes it as "partial large subunit ribosomal RNA". It matches the Rfam family "Eukaryotic large subunit ribosomal RNA", at positions 16 to 584 of the family's 3401-position model. The record is from RNAcentral. Lineage: Eukaryota; Metazoa; Platyhelminthes; Cestoda; Diphyllobothriidea; Diphyllobothriidae.
UAGGUCGACCCGCUGAAUUUAAGCAUAUCACUAAGCGGAGGAAAAGAAACUAACCAGGAUUCCCCUAGUAACGGCGAGUGAAGAGGGAAUAGCCCAGCACCGAAGCCUGCGGUAGGUUUACUGCUAGGCAAUGUGGUGUUUGGGUCGACUCGCGGGAUUGCCACUCCACUCGAAGUCCAGCACUGAGUAUGGUUCCCUGGAUUUGGCCCAGAGAGGGUGAAAGGCCCGUGCGAGUGGAGGUUCAGACAUGUGAGGCAAUUCACCAGGUCGACCUUCGAGUCGGGUUGUUUGGGAAUGCAGCCCAAAGUGGGUGGUAAACUCCAUCCAAGGCUAAAUACAAGCACGAGUCCGAUAGCGAACAAGUACCGUGAGGGAAAGUUGAAAAGUACUUUGAAGAGAGAGUAAACAGUACGUGAAACCGCAUAGAGGUAAACGGGUGGCGUCAAGCUGCAAGCCUAGAGGAUUCAGUUGAUCGGUGUGUAUGCGCGCCUGGCGUGUCUGUCGGACGGACAGUCCACUGCGAAACGGUGGGCCUGCCUUUCUUCUUGGGGGCAGGAUCGGUGUACCGGGAGGUUGCCGGUGCCGGCUGUUUUGUCUGUCUGCGCAGUGUGGAUGGACCGGUCAAUGCACUUCCUCUAUU